CCGGAAGCGGAAGCUCCUUGGGGAAACGGCAAACCCCCGAGCCGGUUCCCAGGCCGGGCAGAGACCAACUCUGGGGUCUCUUGGUGGGAGGGUGGAGAGCCCGUCUUCUGCUGAGUGCUGCUGCCCCCUCCCAGGAGACCAGAGCUGGAACUUCAUCGCGCUGCAACCCCCGGCUCGGGAUCCUGGGGCAUCCUUUGGCAGCCGAUUGUACCCUGCACUAGAGAGAAGUCCAGGAAUGAUAUAUUCUUGGGCUGUAUUUCUCUACCCUGGAAUUCAUCCAGUUCAUCCCAGAAACACUGACCUGGUUACUGUGACAAAGUCUGAUGGAUAGACCCUUUCUGUUGACCUUGCGGCGUUUUUCUUUCAUGUGGAAGUUGGAAGACAAGGUGAAAGGGGCCAAAAGUGACCUGCCUUGGUGAAUAGGAGUGCUCUACUUGGUUCUCAGAACAUGGGCCCUCGUUUAAAGCUGCAGCUGUGAUCCUCGGCUGUCUGUUGGCAUUGAAGGGACCUGAUGUUUUACGUUAUUGGUGGAAUCACAGUGUCUGUGGUUGCAUUCUUCUUCACAAUUAAGUUCCUCUUUGAGCUUGCCGCACGUGUAGUCAGCUUCCUCCAGAAUGAGGACCGCGAGCGCCGAGGAGACCGGACUAUUUAUGACUACGUGCGAGGAAAUUACCUGGAUCCCCGGUCUUGCAAAGUCUCCUGGGAUUGGAAGGACCCCUAUGAGGUGGGCCACAGCAUGGCCUUCCGAGUGCAUUUAUUCUAUAAGAACGGGCAGCCUUUCCCUGCACAUCGGCCUGUGGGACUAAGAGUUCACAUCUCUCAUGUCGAGCUAGCAGUGGAAAUUCCAGUGACCCAGGAAGUCCUUCAGGAGCCCAAUUCCAAUGUGGUAAAAGUGGCCUUCACUGUGCGCAAGGCUGGGCGUUAUGAAAUCACAGUGAAGCUUGGCGGAUUAAAUGUGGCAUACAGUCCCUACUACAAAAUUUUUCAACCUGGAAUGGUGGUUCCUUCUAAGACCAAAAUUGUGUGCCACUUUUCUACUCUUGUAUUGACCUGUGGGCAGCCGCACACUCUUCAAAUAGUACCCCGAGAUGAGUAUGAUAAUCCCACCAACAAUUCCAUGUCCUUGAGAGAUGAGCACAAUUACACCUUGUCCAUUCAUGAGCUCGGCCCUCAAGAAGAAGAGAGUACUGGUGUCUCAUUUGAGAAGUCAGUGACAUCCAACAGGCAGACUUUCCAGGUGUUCUUGCGACUCACCCUGCAUUCUCGAGGCUGCUUCCAUGCCUGCAUUUCAUACCAAAAUCAGCCAAUCAAUAAUGGCGAAUUUGACAUUAUUGUCCUAAGUGAGGAUGAGAAGAACAUCGUCGAACGCAAUGUGUCCACUUCAGGUGUGAGCAUUUACUUUGAGGCUUAUCUUUAUAAUGCUACCAACUGUAGCAGCACUCCAUGGCACCUGCCACCCAUGCACAUGACCUCUUCCCAGCGCCGGCCGUCCACUGCUGUUGACGAGGAAGAUGAAGACUCGCCCUCUGAGUGCCACACCCCUGAGAAGGUGAAGAAGCCGAAGAAGGUGUACUGCUAUGUGUCACCAAAGCAAUUCUCAGUAAAGGAGUUCUACCUGAAGAUCAUCCCCUGGCGCCUUUAUACCUUCCGAGUGUGUCCAGGAACAAAAUUUUCAUACCUUGGUCCUGACCCUGUCCAUAAGCUCCUCACACUGGUGGUGGAUGAUGGCAUUCAACCUCCUGUGGAGCUCAGCUGUAAGGAGAGGAACAUUCUGGCUGCCACUUUUAUCCGCUCCCUGCAUAAGAACAUAGGAGGCUCUGAGACCUUUCAGGACAAGGUGAACUUUUUCCAGCGAGAGCUUCGGCAGGUCCACAUGAAAAGACCACAUUCCAAAGUCACCCUGAAGGUCAGCAGGCAUGCCUUAUUGGAAUCGUCUCUGAAAGCCACUCGGAAUUUCUCCAUCUCAGAUUGGAGCAAGAACUUUGAGGUUGUUUUCCAGGAUGAAGAAGCUCUGGACUGGGGAGGGCCUCGCCGGGAAUGGUUUGAGCUCAUCUGCAAAGCGCUGUUUGAUACCACCAAUCAGCUCUUCACCCGGUUCAGUGACAACAACCAAGCACUAGUGCAUCCCAACCCUAAUCGCCCCGCUCAUCUGCGCCUGAAAAUGUAUGAGUUUGCCGGACGGCUCGUGGGCAAGUGUCUCUACGAGUCCUCUCUAGGAGGAGCCUACAAGCAGUUGGUUCGAGCUCGCUUCACCCGCUCUUUCCUGGCCCAAAUCAUAGGUCUGCGUAUGCAUUACAAGUACUUUGAAACAGAUGACCCAGAAUUCUACAAAUCUAAAGUUUGUUUUAUCCUCAACAAUGACAUGAGUGAGAUGGAGCUGGUCUUUGCAGAAGAGAAAUAUAAUAAAUCAGGUCAAUUGGAUAAGGUUGUAGAACUCAUGACAGGUGGAGCUCAAACUCCAGUCACCAAUGCGAAUAAAAUCUUCUAUUUAAAUUUGCUGGCCCAAUAUCGGCUGGCCAGUCAAGUGAAAGAGGAGGUGGAACAUUUCCUAAAAGGCCUGAAUGAAUUGGUCCCUGAGAACCUUUUGGCUAUUUUUGAUGAGAAUGAGCUUGAGCUUCUGAUGUGUGGGACUGGAGACAUCAGUGUGUCUGACUUCAAAGCUCAUGCAGUAGUUGUUGGUGGCUCAUGGCAUUUCAGAGAAAAGGUCAUGAGGUGGUUUUGGACUGUGGUUUCCAGUCUGACCCAGGAGGAGCUGGCUCGGCUUCUUCAGUUCACAACAGGCUCCUCUCAGCUACCACCUGGAGGCUUUGCCGCCCUCUGUCCCUCAUUUCAGAUUAUUGCCGCUCCGACCCAUAGCACGCUGCCUACUGCACACACAUGUUUUAACCAGCUGUGCCUCCCUACAUAUGACUCCUAUGAAGAGGUGCACAGGAUGCUGCAGCUGGCCAUCAGCGAGGGUUGCGAGGGCUUUGGCAUGCUCUGACCGCUCUCCUGUCAUCCACUUGGCUCCCAUGCUCUCUGGAGCUUCUGGGCACAAGUUACAGACAUCAUAACCACUGAUCCUAACACACAUAACCAUCAGCCAGAAGAUGCCGCAUGCUCCCUUGUGUCUGGAGGAUUGUGUCACCUACAAGCCUUGUCUUUACCUCACCUGCUCUCUGCCCAUAUCUACCACAGGCCACUUUGGCAUGGCGGGCCAGAGAGAAUGAGUACUGAAGACACCUAGCCCAAACAUUCAUGAAGAAGACCCCAAGUCAGAAGAGGCUUCUUCCUCCUUUGCAUGAUCCUGUAAGGACGGAAGAGGUAUUUGAGGGAGCUGUAUCUCAAGCCUAUGUCAUGUGGUAGGAACCUUGACUUCCUUUAAUUCACCUGAUUACUCAAUCAUGAUAAUAGCUACCAUUUUUUUUUAGCUCUUCCCAUAUGCUAGGAGCUCUAGUAUUUUUUGUCUCAUUCACAACAACCCUGCAAGGUAUGUCUUGUUUUCUCUAUUUUACACAAGACACAGUUGAGGCACACAGAGGAUAAGUAAUUGCCAAGGUUUCUUAGCUGGCAAGUGAUAGAGCUGUAUUUGAACAUGGGUCUGUUUUGUGUCAAAGCCCAAACUCCACACUUCUGGUUUGUCUCUAGCAGAUUAGUUUAGACUAAGAAACAGCCCAGGCACUGGGCCACUGUGCUCGCUGACUCUGCCUCGUUCACUUGGUGAUGCUGUGUGUGACAGAUUAACACUUUAUACCUUGGCUUACCUAUCAGUCACUUGGGGAUUUGGGAUUCAUGGGAAAAGGUCCUACUCAUGCAGGAUAGAGAGAUUUUAAGAGAUACAGCUAUUAAUAAUGGCUUUAGAAUCUUUUGCAUGUAGAAAGUUCCUUAGACUACCAACUAAUGAGCGAAGUGACUUCCAAGUUUAAGUGAAUUCUAUAUAAAGAAUACAAGACACCCUUGAGGACGUAACUGAGGAAAAAGGCCCUGAAAUUUUAAUAUCCCUGCUUUGGUGGAAAAUCAAUAGGUAUCAAAUGAAAGAAUGAGGUCAGAUAUGUUACACAAUACCCUGAUGUUUAUCUCUGGUAAUUAAGUCUGCAGAAAAAGACUUAUUUGAAUAAAUCUUUUGUCUCUAAACUUUGCUUAUAUGAAAUAGCACCAUUUGGCAAAGGCCAAAUUCUUGGUGGGUAUCUCACUGAGGAAGCAAACAUUUUCAAGAAUGCCAGAGUUAAAGGGAGAUUACACACACCCUAAACAAGACUGAAGAUACUGUGAAAUUAUUCUCUUGAAACUAGAAGCAUAGUAUCUUCUCCAGGGUGAGGGGUUUCUGUACCUCUCUUGAGUGAAGUCGCUCUUUCUGCAGACCCCCACUUCACCUGCAUUAUGGAUUUGCACAUAAAGGAAUUUUUCUGAAUCUUCCCGUCUUCUACAGACCAACAAUGUUCCCUCUCUCCUCAGAACUCCCACUUGAAGGAGUUGCCAAGACAUUCCUCUGUUUGCCCAUUAGCAGAGUCAGGGAUAUCAGAGUAUUUGCAAGCCAGCUAGAGAGCCUUUGAUGGCUUUUAUGUUAUGUUGAAAACAAAAUGUUGUGUUAUUGUGCAAGAGGAAGAUUAUGUGUGUGUCAUCGUUUUGUGCUUGGUCUCCUACGUCCAAUCCUGCUCUAAGUUGUCAUUUCGUUUCCUAACCUUCUCCUCUCCCCAGUCGGGUAUUUCUGUUCCAUCCCUGAGUUUGUAGCCUCCCUUUUUUUUUCUUGAGUUCUGUGCAGCUCUGCAUUUCAGCAGACAUCUCCUAUGCAUCAGGCACUGUGCGGGGAGCUAGGGACACACAAGAUAGAAUGUGAUCCUGGCCUCUGAGCAGCUUACAAUCUUGGGAGACAGACAUAAACAAUCUAUUUUCCUUAGAGUUUCCUUCUCAUGAAGCUUGGGCACCCAAACCCAUCACCACUGCCCCCACCCCCACCCAAUAGUUUCUCCUGUUUGCUUGGUGGGGAGCAUUUCUUUUUAUAUAUUUGGAGACUUUCUCUAAUACGGAGUUGCUGUUGCUACAAGUGAAAUUAGUCUAGUUUCCCACAGAAAGAGAGGGAAGUUACUCUCCCUGUUGAUUUUCAGAGAAGAAAGAACCCUUGUAAAGAUAGAUUCCAAACCAAGAGACCCAAGGAGCAAGCCCAUUAUUGUGCCAUAAAUAGGCCGUCACCUGGGCAGGUCCUGGGACAGGCUGAGAAAGGGGACUUGGUGAUCUAAGGGCCCACUCUUCCUUUAAUCUGCUCUCCCAGACAAAGCAGACCUGAAGUGUUGACUUUGGCAAUGGGCGACUGGCCAGUAGCCUACAGCUCAGUGAAUGAAAUUAGAAUCUUGAGUGGAUGGGGAGUGGGAGGUAUCUCCAACACUAAUGGCAAUCAAAGGGUUUGUGCUAUGGUUAUAAUCAGUAUGGCAGAGGAAAGUCAAGGGAAUACCAUUUCCAGUAAACUCAGAGGUGUGAAAAGGCAAAUCAAUUUUAUGAACAGCCAUGAAGUUGGUUGGUUGUGACCACUAUGGGUGGAGACACUGAGCUUCAGUGGAAUUUCCCUUAAUAUUAAACCAGGAAACUACAGUCCCUGGUUAUCUCUCUGUCAUAUACAGCAGCUGACAUCUAUUCCUCCCUGGGGAUUGGGCAGAUCUUAAAGUUGAUCGCCUAAGCUUCUGACUGGGAUCACAGCUGGAUAGGGGUUGGGUCAGGCCAUUGCCUUUAGAAAACCAGUUCUUUAGGCUCUCUUUCCUAUGGGAUUUCUCUGAAACCUUGUUCAUGAUGAUGCCAACUUGUGUCUCCUUGAAAAAUCACAAUGGAAUUAAUUAAUCAAUGGAAUUAAACUUGGGUGUUCU
Molecule: RNA transcript, 5834 nt
Organism: Macaca mulatta (Rhesus monkey)
Lineage: Eukaryota; Metazoa; Chordata; Mammalia; Primates; Cercopithecidae
Gene: AREL1
Gene name: apoptosis resistant E3 ubiquitin protein ligase 1
Source: RefSeq, marked provisional